GUGGGGAAUAUUGGACAAUGGGGGGAACCCUGAUCCAGCCAUGCCGCGUGUGUGAAGAAGGCCUUUUGGUUGUAAAGCACUUUAAGCGAGGAGGAGGCUACCGAGAUUAAUACUCUUGGAUAGUGGACGUUACUCGCAGAAUAAGCACCGGCUAACUCUGUGCCAGCAGCCGCGGUAAUACAGAGGGUGCAAGCGUUAAUCGGAUUUACUGGGCGUAAAGCGCGCGUAGGUGGCCAAUUAAGUCAAAUGUGAAAUCCCCGAGCUUAACUUGGGAAUUGCAUUCGGUACUGGUUGGCUAGAGUAUGGGAGAGGAUGGUAGAAUUCCAGGUGUAGCGGUGAAAUGCGUAGAGAUCUGGAGGAAUACCGAUGGCGAAGGCAGCCAUCUGGCCUAAUACUGACACUGAGGUGCGAAAGCAUGGGGAGCAAACAGGAUUAGAUACCCUUGUAGUCC
RNAcentral lists this ribosomal RNA (451 nucleotides) under uncultured bacterium. RNAcentral's name for it is "bacterial SSU rRNA". It matches the Rfam family "Bacterial small subunit ribosomal RNA", at positions 354 to 796 of the family's 1533-position model. The record is from RNAcentral.